UGGGGAAUAUUGCACAAUGGGCGAAAGCCUGAUGCAGCGACGCCGCGUGCGGGAUGAAGGCCUUCGGGUUGUAAACCGCUUUUGAUUGGGAGCAAGCGAGAGUGAGUGUACCUUUCGAAUAAGCACCGGCUAACUACGUGCCAGCAGCCGCGGUAAUACGUAGGGUGCAAGCGUUAUCCGGAAUUAUUGGGCGUAAAGAGCUCGUAGGCGGUUUGUCGCGUCUGGUGUGAAAGCCCAUCGCUUAACGGUGGAUCUGCGCCGGGUACGGGCAGGCUAGAGUGCGACAGGGGAGACCGGAAUUCCCGGUGUAACGGUGGAAUGUGUAGAUAUCGGGAAGAACACCAAUGGCGAAGGCAGGUCUCUGGGUCGUCACUGACGCUGAGGAGCGAAAGCGUGGGGAGCGAACAGGAUUAGAUACCCUGGUAGUCCACGCCGUAAACGGUGGAUGCUGGAUGUGGGGCCCAUUCCA
RNAcentral lists this ribosomal RNA (469 nucleotides) under uncultured bacterium. Its description in RNAcentral is "partial 16S ribosomal RNA". It matches the Rfam family "Bacterial small subunit ribosomal RNA", at positions 355 to 836 of the family's 1533-position model. The record is from RNAcentral.